CUCCAUCAUCAGCAUAGAGCACACGCUGGAGAAGCGUGAGGCCACCGGUUUGAAUCCGGUUGGGGACA
RNAcentral lists this transfer RNA (68 nucleotides) under Caudoviricetes sp. Its description in RNAcentral is "tRNA-Leu". The record is from RNAcentral. Lineage: Duplodnaviria; Heunggongvirae; Uroviricota; Caudoviricetes.